RNAcentral lists this ribosomal RNA (797 nucleotides) under Mughiphantes nigromaculatus. RNAcentral describes it as "SSU rRNA". It matches the Rfam family "Eukaryotic small subunit ribosomal RNA", at positions 984 to 1799 of the family's 1831-position model. The record is from RNAcentral. Lineage: Eukaryota; Metazoa; Arthropoda; Arachnida; Araneae; Linyphiidae.
CGAAAGUUAGAGGUUCGAAGGCGAUCAGAUACCGCCCUAGUUCUAACCAUAAACGAUGCCAGCCAGCGAUCCGGCUGUGUUCCUCAAAUGACACGCCGGGCAGCUUCCGGGAAACCAAAGCUUUUGGGUUCCGGGGGAAGUAUGGUUGCAAAGCUGAAACUUAAAGGAAUUGACGGAGGGGCACCACCAGACGUGGAUGUUGCGGUUCAAUUUGACUCAACGCAGCAAAUCCUACCAGGCCAGGACACAGGAAGGAUUGACAGAUUGAGAGCUCUUUCUUGAUUCUGUGGGUGGUGGUGCAUGGCCGUUCCUGGUUCGUGGAGCGAUUUGUCUUGUUUAUUCUGAUAACGGACGAGAUUCUAGCCUACUAAAUAGACGCUUCGAUCCUUCGAGUCGAGCGUUCUUCUUAGAGGGACAGGCGGUGUUUAGCCGCACGAGGCAGAGCAAUAACAGGUCUGUUACGCCCUUAGAUGUCCUGGGCCACACGCGUCCUACAUUGAAGGAAUCAACGUGUGCUUUCCCUGUCCGAAGGGACUGGGUAACCCGUUGAACCUCCUUCGUGCUGGGGAUAGGAAAUUGUAAUUAUUUUCCUUGAACGAGGAACUUCUAGUAAGCGCGAGUCAUCAUCUCGGGUUGAUUAGGUCCCUGCCCCUUGUCCACACCGCCCGUCGCUAUUACCGAUUGAAUGAUUUAGUGAGGUCUUCGGACUGGCGCUCGGAUUGGCCUUCGGGUCGAGCCGGCGUGCCGGAAAGAUGACCGAACUUGACCAUUUAGAGGAAAUAAAAGUCGUAACAAGG